Molecule: ribosomal RNA, 403 nt
Filed under: uncultured bacterium
Lineage: Bacteria
Description: partial 16S ribosomal RNA
Rfam family: Bacterial small subunit ribosomal RNA
Source: RNAcentral
AUUGAACGCUGGCGGCAGGCCUAACACAUGCAAGUCGAGCGAGCGGCGGACGGGUGAGUAAUGUAUGGGGACUGCCCGAUAGAGGGGGAUAACUACUGGAAACGGUAGCUAAUACCGCAUACUAUCGGAUAACCCAUAUGGGAUUAGCUAGUAGGUGAGGUAAUGGCUCACCUAGGCGACGAUCCCUAGCUGGUCGGAGAGGAUGAUCAGCAACACUGGGACUGAGACACGGCCCAGACUCCUACGGAGGCAGAAGUGGGGAAUAUUGCAAAAUGGGCGCAAUCCAGAUGCAGCCAUGCCGAGUGUAUGGGGAAGGCCAUAGGGUUGUAAAGUACUUUCAGUCGGGAGGCGGUACCGACAGAAGAAGCACCGGCUAACUCCGUGCCAGCCGCCGCGGUAAUAC